AUCUGUUCUUAUCAGUUUAAUAUCUGAUACGUCAGAUAUUCCCCUACCCGGGGACCAUAUAUUAAAUUGAUUUUUGGAUCAGGGAGCCAGAACGGGGGCUUGCUCCUUCCACUCCACGCAUCGACCCGGUAUUGCAUUACCUCCAGUUACGGUGC
This 155-nucleotide small nuclear RNA is filed under the name Lates calcarifer (barramundi perch). Its description in RNAcentral is "U2 spliceosomal RNA (ENSLCAG00010026093.1)". It matches the Rfam family "U2 spliceosomal RNA", at positions 38 to 185 of the family's 192-position model. Rfam says of the family: U2 is a small nuclear RNA (snRNA) component of the spliceosome (involved in pre-mRNA splicing). The record is from RNAcentral. Lineage: Eukaryota; Metazoa; Chordata; Actinopteri; Centropomidae.